GAAAUGCGAUACGUAAUGUGAAUUGCAGAAUUCAGUGAAUCAUCGAAUCUUUGAACGCACCUUGCGCUCCUUGGUAUUCCGAGGAGCAUGCCUGUUUGAGUGUCUUGAAGCCAUCAACUCGGCUCCCUUUUUCCCUUGGGAGUCUGUGUUGGAUGUUGGGGGUCUGCGGCCAACCCGGCCGCUCCCUUCAAAUGCAUCGGUUGGGCUGUGGGUCGAACUUGUCUGGGUGUUGUACUAUCCUCACUCUGGCUGAGAUGUUCCCGCCUUGUGUGCCCUGCCUGGACCUGCCCGUUUGGAGAGGCGGUCAAGACGAACUUUUUGAAAUCUGACCUCAAAUCAGGUAGGACUACCCGCUGAACUUAA
This 363-nucleotide unclassified non-coding RNA is filed under the name uncultured Trechispora. Its description in RNAcentral is "sequence contains ITS1". The stretch from base 1 to 105 matches the Rfam family "5.8S ribosomal RNA", at positions 50 to 154 of the family's 154-position model. The record is from RNAcentral. Lineage: Eukaryota; Fungi; Basidiomycota; Agaricomycetes; Polyporales; Polyporaceae.